Molecule: long non-coding RNA, 740 nt
Organism: Fundulus heteroclitus (mummichog)
Lineage: Eukaryota; Metazoa; Chordata; Actinopteri; Cyprinodontiformes; Fundulidae
Exons: 3
Source: RefSeq, a predicted model, not a curated record
GGGUGGUUCUGCAGACACUGCGACUUCCUCAUGUGUUCUAGGGGACAAACAGCAGUCUGUUCACAUGGAAGGGCCGAGGAUUGCAGCGGAGGCUGAAGCCAGAGCACACACUCCUCCAGAGUUCCCCGCUGACCGAAUAAGACCAUGUCGAGCUCCCCCUCCUCCGCCAAAGAGCACCUCAUAGAUGUGAGAUGGAAAAAGGGACCCGUUUUGAGCAAAGCAACAACGGUUUGUGCACGUCACGGCUUAACAGACAUUCAACAGGUGUUGUCAUUGCUAAAGUUGAUAGCACAACAGUGGUUUCCCUGUCAUAAACCUGUUUACAACUCAGAUAUGUGCACACUCUUCAACUGGUGCAAUAUUAGUGGGAUCAAUGUUUAAAAUACUGGGAAGAAAUUUACUGAAUAUUCAAAUGUAAAGGUUAAUGGUAUGUAGCUUUAGCAUGGCAUAUAUUUGUUUAAUACAGUAACGCAAGUGUGGUGUUUUUCAGUGUUCUCAUGUUGUAUGUUUUUUUAUACCAAAACAAUGUAAUUCAUUUAUAUGUUAAAAGGAAAGGAUUCUGUAGUGAAACUUGUUGAAUUUCUAACUUUUAUGUAUAGACCAUUGGUCCGGUAGUAGGCAAGUCUCUGGAAAAGGAAAGAACACCUCCUUGUCUGAAAAUAGUUUACAUGUUAAUUUAUUGAAAUAUUUUGUAUUACAUAUGCUCAUUGGCUGCUUAGUUUUCUCUCUCCAAACAAGGU